UUUUUUUUUUUUUUUUUUUUUUUGAAGCGCGUGUCAGUAAUUAUGUGCGUAAUUUUUUUCGUCACGUAGCAGAAGUAGGGUUGACACCUAAAGAGGGAGUUUGGACGGAGGGCGCAAAGAGGUCUCCACGUUGACGGACCAACUAGUCCAACUGGUACAUUAAGUAUGAAGGAAAUAAAUCAUCCAUGUUCGUGUUGUUUGUCCUUUUCUGCGUUUAUUUACUUGAUUAAAUUUCUAUUUGUCGUCGGCAGCGUAAACGAAGCUUUAAUUAUCCAUGUACUUAGCAUCCUAAUUAAUUGCAACAAAAUUCGACCUAGUUUUUUUUUUUUUUUUUUAAAUGCAACCUAGUUAAAUCUAUGGAGCUCUUGCAUCAGAUUCUUUGACUAAGUGUCAUGUUUUAUGUCCUCAUUUCACUUGAUCUGAAACUCAUGAUGAUUCGAUUGGUCAUUCCUCGAACCUUUCGGAUCGAAAGAAUACCUUUUCAAAAGUGCCUUCUUUUUUUUUCGUUUGUUUUAAAUAUAUAUAGUGUAAGUAAGUGAGACGGCUCGGACUCCCUCCCCUCAAACCAUCUCAUCCAUAUCCCUCCCAUCAUUUCUAGAACCAUGUGGCCAAUACGAAUUUUGCCUCCUGCAACAAAAGAAACAAUUAGUUUUGGAUUAACUGCAGUAUCAUUUUGCAUUGGAAGUUAUCAAUCACCAUUUUAUUUUAUAUACAUUAUAUCACAAAAAAAGUGUUACAAUAAUUAUUCCAAAUAAUAUUUCAUAUAAUACCCUAUCCAAACAAUUUUAAUAUUCCAAAUUUCAAUUAUUUCUACCGUAAACUGUAGCGCAUUGUACAAUGAUACUCAGAAAUUUAAAAAGUGGAAAAUUGAUGCCUGCAUCAAAACGGUAAAAUCAAGAAAAGAAAAUGUGAAGUGGAAAAUGUGAUUGAUAAUUGUAUAAAAAAAAUAUUCAUGGAAAUGCGAAUUUUGUUAAAUUAGCAAUCUAAACUUAGACAUGCACUCGAAGAAAUUGCUCGAUAUGCUAAUAACAACUGACGUUUUAUAUAUUUUGCUGGUUGAUGUCAUCCAAGCAAAUUGAAAUGAUAACUACUUCCAAAUUUUGUUUGCAAUAUGUUCUACACCAAAAAAAUCUAAUAAGAAAGCAGGUUCUUCACAUCUUGCUUUUCAUUUUUAUUAAUUCUUGAUAUUUGAAAUAUUCUUAGAUUAUAAUUUCCAUCAACAUAACGGUUUCAAGUCAUAUCCAUGUGGUCCUCCGUUUAGUCACACUAUCUACAUGAACAAUAUAACUAUUAAUUUAAGAUUGAACCUUUUGUGGUCCUAAAAAUUCAAUUUUUUAUGUAAAAAAGGAAAAAAAAAAACAAUAAAAAGAUAAUAGUGAAGCUAUUCGUGUUCUGUGUAACAAGUCCGAUCCUCAGUUACCCACAUCUAUUGCUGCGCUCUUUAGAAAAAAGAAGAAGCGUACGUGUUAAUUUCAUAUAUAGUGACGCUGCAUUGUAAAAUUUCUCUACAUGUUUAGAAUUCAUGUACGCAUGUCACUGAAUCGAGUUUCAACUGAAUUUAACUAAGAUAAUUUUUAUGGGUUUGAAUCCGAAUUUGGAUCUCACUAAAUUUAAUGAAUUUGAGUAUGAAACAAGAGAAUUCAAUACAAAUUCUAUCUAUUGACAUGCCUAGAUAAUAUAUUUCAUCUCCAAGAGAAAUAAAAGGUAAUUAAUGAUUUCCCUAUUUGAAUAAAAAGCCAAUUUUUGAUGCAGGGCUGGCUAUCCUACCCUUGUGGGCCCUUUAAAAAUAGCAAAAUUAGCAAAAGAAAAAACAAAUUACUUUGUCUCAUUGCACAAAUGCACCGUCAUUCAGUGCAUUCAUCCCUACCAAAAUCCGGUGGUCUAUUUCCCACGUGUACGCGGGUCAAUUCUGUCCACGUGUCAGAAGAUGUCGGAGAUUUGCUAGGACCUCCACGAUACAUUGGUCUUUUAUUGUCCACACUCCACACCAAGGUCAAAGCGGUAACCCUCUCUACACUUUUUUUUUAUCAGUAACGAUACAUGUGUAUAACCUACUCUAUCAUAAUCUAGGGGGGAGGGGAGCCUAAGGAGGCUGUUGUAGGGGCUAGUGGGUAUACAGACCCAACCACAUUAAGGGAGUGCUAUGGCACAACCCUUAGAUUUUUUUCACUGCUGGUGAGGGUUCUGGUGGCCACUGAGCCAUUGGCCAGUGGUUGGUAACCCUCUCUACACAUUGGAUUCUUUUUCCUAAAUUUGUACUCUUGUGCCAGUCACAGUGGUGCUUUCUUUUCACUUUUCCCUGCGCCAUUUUCUAUUUUGGCCAAUUGCAAUGUUUUUUUUUUUGGGUGGCGGAGGCCAACAAUCGCACGCGCACCAGGUAUGUCAAAACAAAACUUUGCUGCUUCUCUGCUGCUGCACGAUGUUCAUAUCAUAUACGAUUCCCAUUUGAGGCUGAAGACUCCGAGAAUUCUUGGAAGUAUUUUACUGCUCGGUUGUUUUCUAUAGCUAAAAUGAUGGAGUGCAUUUUCUUCUAUAUUAUAUUCUCUAGCACGAUAAUGAUGGAAAUACCUAACGAGAGAUAAUCUCUCCCCCGUAAGCUGGGCUUUGGUCUCUCCCAUGGCAGAUGUCUCUUUUGCUAGUUUUAUUUCCUUUUGUCUGAAUAAAUUCUUUCCUAAGGUUUUCCAGUCUAAGUUUCUUAUCCUCUAGAUCUUCUCUAGUAUUAGUUUUAUUUUUUUUUUCCUAGAAUCUCCUUGUGAGAGUAAUUUUUUUUUUUCAAUUGGUUACAUUAAAAAUCAAAUCAUUUGAUGGAAAACAUUCUUGGGAUUUCAAUUUUAUGAUCAAAUUUAUGAAUUUUUUUAGAUCCGUCGUAGCAUUUGAUUUGAGAUCCGUGUGAAUUUGUGUUAUACUUGAUAUAUUUGCUGCUAUUAGUGAAGAUACUAGAAUAAAAACGUACUUUCUUUUUUUUUUUUUUUAAAAAAAAUACAAGGUAACACCUGGUGGCAGGGGGUGCAGUAGAGUUAAACUCCAAGUCAAAAUAAUCAACCUGGCUCAGAUGCAAGAAGUUUCCAAAUCUGGGCAGUAUUUUUUCUUAAAGAUUUUUUUUUUUAAAAAAAAAAAGAGAAGAGCAUUUUUUUUCAAUCUGUGCUUUAUCUAACAUUCAGAAAGGACGAGACACAACAACAAAAUAAAAACGUUUGCACAAAUUCAGAUGCAAGAUUAUUUUAUAUUUUUUAUGCGAAACCACGUCUCUCUCCUAGGAGACAUGCAAAUCCUCCGUAGAAUAGCAAAACGACAACGCACUUUGUCCUCACAUACUCUCUCGGACAUAUGCACACGUUCAAUUUAAUGUAGCCGAUCGAUUCGACCAUAAACGGGGUCUUUUCAUGUAGUCAUCAUGAGGUCGUCAAUGGCUUUUAAAAUUCUUUUUCAUUAUGAAAUUUAUGAUUCGAAUCUUGGAUAUAAUAUAAUAGUUGGAAAAGAAAAGAGCGUAAAGAGAUUUUCAUUGACAUGAAAAGAACGCAAAAGAAAGAAAAAAAAAAAAGAGGAGAAAUUUCUACCAUGCGAGCAUACAUUUGCAUCCCCUUAAAGGAGGCCCCUCCUGGACAGCUCGUUUGGUCACGACAGUCCCUUGAAAUUCGUUGUCCAACUCUCCCAUCAGGGAUGGAAUCCCAGUGGUUACCGUGUUCGGGUUGAAGGGGCCUCUUCUCCCGGGCCGGAAUAGGAUUAAUCGGGCCCCGUAAGAAUUGAUCCGAACACCCACUCUGUUGAUAAAAAUAAAUAAAUAAAUGAAGGAGGCAAAAAAUUAAAGGAGGAAAAAGCAGCUGACUACCUCCAUCACUCACCCAAAUUGUGUUUGGAGCACAAAAAUUUGGUAGGAUGAGAGAAAUUGACAUCUACUCGUGUUAUAAGGCCACAAUUACGAUUUUUUUGGACGUCUUCAUAAAGUAUGGGACGGUUGGCUUGUAUAGGAAUGCCUAACCAUACCUCAUGAUCUAAUGAAAGAAAUGGUACCUUUGGCGGCUAGUGCCACCUGACCAAACGAGCAUUUUUGGCUGAUGAAUUUAGUUUAGAGCAAGCAAUUGCUUAGACCAUGCUCCACUAAUUAGUAGUAAUUACCCUAAUAUAUAUUUUUUGUCAUGGCCAUUGACCGAUAUGUUCACAUGCCAUUUUGUCUCUAGUUCGAAGCCACCUUCAAUUAUUCUCGGGGUUAAAGCCGUAAGAUGCUGCUAUUUCAAUAAAUUAAAGCAGCGUCAGUUAAGGAAGAACAUCUUGAGUGGGCAGUAGUUUAAAGAUCUCUAGUAGUACUAUUUUGUCAACGAAGAAGGGUUUCAGACGAUACUUCACGUCAACUGGUAAUUAUUGGCACAAAAUCUGAAUUUGGAGCUCUGGUGCUGGUGGCGGUGCUAAUUAAAACUUGGCUCAAUGAUUUUUGAAGACAACGAAAUGAAGUACUACAACCCCCCGCCUGCCCUGCCUUCAGGUGUUGUAGGUAACAAAAGAAAUCAAAUGGAUUGCAAUGGCUCAACCACAUUCGAUCACACAAGGCACCGGACAUCAGAGUAGUUUCAAAUGUACUCCUUUUGUUUAGUUAAAAAUGAUAAGAAUCAUAUCAGUUCUAAGAUUAGCACUCAUGCUUUACACAUCACACUAGACGAAGAAAUAUCAUAUUUCCUCAGUAUCAAGUACACUGACUGUAAAAUUAACUCGAUUCUUUGCUCACAAUUGUAUUGCUUUUGAAAUUAAUAUUAUCCAAUAUCGUUUCGAAAAAAAAAAAGAAAAGAUUGCAGUGACUCAAAUAAACAUAUUUUUAACCCCUCGAAAGAGAGCAACAGAUUUUUGUGGAGAUAGAGAAGUCCAUUUCGAUCGGAGGUAGAAUUUCCCGGUCGGACCCAAAGCUCAAUCUACAGAGCAGCAGUCGCUUAGAAACUCUUUUUUUUUUUUUUGAGUGAUCCUCUGCUGGCCUUUUUACAAAAGUCCUUCGGGCGCUGUAUUUGAGACCGUCUCCAUCUCUAAAGCCCAAAUCUUAUUGGACAAAGCCCCUUUCUUUAUAGUUUGAUUGAACUGGGCGGACCUGAAACCGUGCAAUUUAUCAUCGCAUAAGCACGUCUGCCUGGCCAACAACUCAUUCUCAUUUUAUCCCCUAAUCCUGCUACACUAUUCACUACAUUUAAAGUUGAUCAAAGCCUUUCACCACUCUCUUUUGAGUUAAGGCACCGAUCUCAACCUUGCUUUCCUCCCAAAUUCCCAGAGUUCUGAAAAAUAACCCAAGGCUACGGUUAACAGGAUAUUGAGUCUCGCAUUAAGUCACUGUAAAAGUCUGGACAGCCACUUGAAAAAGCCCAAGCAUUAUGGGCCUGCAUCAUUUCCCGGCAGUGACAUAGAUGGAGCUUCAUCAGUGGGCUUACUAAACCACCUUUCUGACCAAUUGCUAGAUUUUUUUUUUUUUUUUUGGGGAGUAGGGUGAACGAAAGGUUUGAAUUUAAAACCUCCUACCUACCAUCCUUCCUACCUUACUAUCCAACCCAGCCAUCUUCUUUUGCUAGAAGUCAUUGGAACAUUCAUACACUUAAAUCUUGUAGGGAAAAAGUAAGGUUUUUUUUUUGGGUUAUUAUCACUUUACUCCCUUAAACUAUAUCACUAUUACCAAUUUACCCCCUAAUAUAAUCACUUUACUCUCUAAUAUUGUGUUUGGAUAGAGUAUUAUUUGAAUGUUAUUUGAAAUAAUUACUGUAGUAUUUUUUUAUGAUGUGAUACAUGUGAGAUAAAAAGGUGAUUGAUAAUAUAAAAAAGUGAGUUGGGAAUGUGGUUGUGAUGCAAGUCAAAUAUUAUUUGGCAAAAUUGAUCUAUCCAAACAUAAAAAAGUAUUUUACCCUAUUGUUAAUCUAAAAAGUAUGUUAAAAAAUGUUUAAAUGUAUUAACCUUUUUUUAUAUAUAAUUAAAAAUAAAUAAGACGGAAUAAUUAUUUUUCCUUUUUUUUCACUCUAAGAUUUCAAAAACAUAAAAAUAAAAUGGGUUUUUCAAAUUUUUUCACACUUAUUAAUACCUGCAAAGAAAGAAAAUUAGGAAGAAUAUACUAUUAUCGUAUUACUUUAAUGUCCUCGGGAUUAGGAUUGGAAUUGGGUAAUAAACAGAAAAAUAAAAUAAUUUUAAAAUAAUAAAAAUAUUGAAUUCUUUCUUGUUUGUAUUAAAACAAAGAAUUGAACUCUCUCUCUUCCUCCCCUAUUUUUCUAUUUUUUCAAUAUCAAUAAGAUUGUCAAGAAGAAAGAGAUUAAUGUUUUGACUUUUUUUCUUGAUACUAAAAAGGAGAAGAUCCACUCUAAAUUUUUUAUUAUUUUUAUUAUACAAAAGAGAGGGUACUAUAUUCUCAAGAUUUUCAACUAGUCCAGUUGAUUUAUUGAUGGGAUAAAUUGUCUAAAAAAUAACUAUAGGGGGUAAAUUGAUAAUAAGGUUAUAGUUUAUGAGGGUAAAGUGAUAAUAAUUUUAAAAGUUAAACAUGUUUUAUCACUUGAAUUAAUAAACUCCGUUAAGUUUGAUCGUUAAUUUUGAGGGUAAAAUGACUACAAAUAAUUUUAUGGGGGAAAUUGAUAGUAAUGUCAAAUGUUAAGAGAGUAAAGUGAUAAUAACCCUUUUUUUUGGGCGAGGGAUUAGCACUUUAGCAAUGUAAGUUGGGCCUUUUGUUUGGCGGCAAGAGUCGGUGAAUGCUGAGGUUGACUCUUAAUUUUCCGAUAAUUGUAAUUCUUUGUAAGGGCUUCACAAGAUGCAUAACGGCCAUUCAUAUGGCGAUAAUAACUUCUACUUAGCCGGUGCUGUACCGAAUAUCUUUCCUCUAUAGCCGUUACGAUGCACAAACAACAUAGUACCAAGUACACAACAGCGGCCUUUGUUUUUGAACCAAAGUGCACGGUCCCUUUCUUCUACAUAGGGGUGGAGCUGAGUCAAGCUACUCGACUCGAGCUCGAUAUGUACUCGAUCAGAAGCUCGAGCUCGAACUCGCUUCAUCGAGCUCGAGCUCGAUCUCGAGCUGCUCGUUAGAGCUAUCGAGUCGAGCUCGAGCUCAGAAAUUUGAUACUCGAGAGCUCGACGAGCUUUAUCGAGUAUCACAUAAAAAAAAAUAAAAAAAUAAAUAUAAAAUUACUAAUAUAGGUAAAUAAAUUCUGAGAAAUUACGGGUAAGUACCCUUAUCGAGUCGAGCUCGAGCUUUUUAAGGACUCGAUCGAGCUCGAGCUCGAGCUGUGAUUCUCCGACUCGAUCGAGCUCGAGCUCGAGCUCGAGUAUAAUUAUAUUAUAGCCGAGUCGAGCUCGAGUAUAGCGGUACUCGAGCUCGACUCGGCUCGAAUACACCCCUACUUCUACAUCUCCUCAUGCUCCCAGAAAAUAAAUGUUGGUCAUUCUACGCGGACUUGAAAGCAUUGGUCAGCUUUAAAGCGGUCCAUUUGGGUCGAAUUUUAGAAUUUAGAACAAGCGGACCAAAAAAUUCUAGUCUAUUUUGGAACAAGAACAGUAACCUAUAUGUGUCUUGAGAAAAUUUUUGACCUGAUCAAGUCUGUUUAUCACCUUUUUGUAAAUGCUUUUUGUAAAUGCAAGGAAGGAAGGAAGGAAGGGAUGUUUGCAUUUUUUGAAACGCACACAGCACCAACCGGAGGGGCCACUCCGUGUUUCCCACUAUUGUUUUAUUUCGGUUCCUUCUCUGAGGGAAUGAGGGGUGGACCAAAGGCUAAGGCACUCGCCGCACAAUUAUUAGCAUUGGGGAAUGUUUCAGCUUUGUCUUACUUAUCCACUCUAACUAAGAUUUACAUGCGGGUUCCUCAGUACCCUUGCCUCCUUUUCUUAGUUUAGACAGAAGUUUAUUCAAAAAAAUAAAGAAGAAAAUUCUUUUAAGGGGUAGUAGUUGGAGUGGUUAUAACAGUUGACCAAUCAAUCCGCAAAUUAAUCAUAUUCUACUCCUCCUUUCUUUAUAAAUAUCAAAAAACUAACGAUAGCGCUGCAUAUGUAGUAAUAGUACAACCAAAUAUGUUUGUUGGACAAGGGGCACGGACGGUUGCACGCCCCAACGGUUUUGGCCAUGUUUAACAACGCCUAAUUUUGAUUGCAUACGGCGUAAUUUUGUUUAUACAACGUGUAACUUUAGUAUAAAAUUUUGUGGAUUCCACAUACGGUGUAAAAAUCGAUACACAACUUGUGAUCUGGAUCGCACAAUUUGUUGAUGCCAAAUCAUGGCCAUUAACAGCCGCUCCUGCCCCGUUUCCAUGUUGAGCUCAGCCUUGGAAGAGUAAUUGAUUGAUCGUUGCACCUGCCAAGCUCUGACACGGACACCUGUUGGUAAAUCUUUCGUCAUGAGAUGAAAUAAAACAACCAACACAUUGAAUGCGUGCUUAGAAUCCUCAAUCGGGAUAGAGAUUGAAAAAACUGACGGAUCCCAUAAUUAUUGUGACUACGUAUAUUUAUCUUAUGCUGCUACUGAUGCCAUAAAUUAGCUAAUCUCCAUCCUUUUUCUUGUCCUCUUUUCGUUGUAAAGCUCAUCAUUAAUUAGCAUUAUUGUACGUACGUACAUGGAGACAUCUAAGCUAGUAAACCAGCAAUAAUUCAGGUUCAGUGCAGGUGCAUACCAGCAAAGCACCUGGCUGUCCCUCUUGUCUGUUUGUUGCCCGAAUUCUAACGAUCAUUUUUCGACAUCAGAUAUACACCAAAACUCAUUGGCAGUUUGCCAUCCUUAUCCGUCUCAACGUAAAAUAGACCCCUAAACCAACCCCUCUUGACUCGCUACAUUCUUUAGUUACUGAUUUUUCCUUUAACCGGUCCCUUGUAUCUUUCGGCCUUCAUUCAUAUGCCACACAGAUUAGGAUGACGCCUGAAGCUACACGUAACUUCUUGUAAGUCUGAUUAAGAUUUUUCUGGGUACCACAAGCCAUGCUGGAUAGCAACUUAUAGCUUCUAACGCCAAGAGAGGCAGGGAAACAAAGAAAGACCCUCUCUCCCCCCCCCCCCAUUCAAGGACCACAUCAAUUUGUGUCCUUCUCUAACAGACUACCCUGUGAAAUUGCAAUUGCAGAAUUUAACAUCAGAUGAGACAUGUCAGUAGGCUAGCCAAAAACUGUCCAUGCACGCGUUCAAUAACCAUUGAUGAACAACAACUAGCUGAUAAUGAUUGAACAAGCACCAACUCGGCCGCACAUGCAACGGUCAAUCAACUUGAAAGAGAUUUUAGAAACAAAUAUCCACGUCCCAAUAAACUGGAACUGGAUUCGCCGCCAUACUCAUCACGGCACAGCCACCAGUUCAAGCUUUUGAAAGAAGGGCAACCAAAACCUUGAGAAAGUAAGAGAGUCAACAGAAGAAAAUGCGAACAUUAUUUCUUCCCUGCACACUACACUCUAUUAACACUUGACAUGAGACGAGAGACGAGUUGAAAUGGUACGCAAAAAGGAAAAAGAAACGAAAGUGGAGAAGAAUGCAAAGUAGAGACCUGUUUUACAAUUUUAGUCACAAACCUGUUCACUGGGGUGGGUAUAUAUCCCUGUCCUACAAUCAGAAAGGUCCAUCAAGAACUACAGACGACGAAAGCAGAAAAUACAACCAAACUCCAAGCAACCGUGCAUAAACAGAAAUGUCUUCCUUAGAAUACAUCACACAAACCUAUAUUAACUAGUUCU
Molecule: long non-coding RNA, 9650 nt
Filed under: Coffea arabica (coffee)
Lineage: Eukaryota; Viridiplantae; Streptophyta; Magnoliopsida; Gentianales; Rubiaceae
Description: long non-coding RNA (CARA_LNC004468)
Source: RNAcentral